RNAcentral lists this ribosomal RNA (460 nucleotides) under uncultured bacterium. Its description in RNAcentral is "partial 16S ribosomal RNA". It matches the Rfam family "Bacterial small subunit ribosomal RNA", at positions 338 to 795 of the family's 1533-position model. The record is from RNAcentral.
CCUACGGGAGGCAGCAGUGAGGAAUAUUGGUCAAUGGACGAGAGUCUGAACCAGCCAAGUAGCGUGAAGGAUGACUGCCCUCUGGGUUGUAAACUUCUUUUAUAAAGGAAUAAAACGAGGCCCUUGUGCCUUUUUGCAUGUACUUUAUGAAUAAGGAUCGGCUAACUCGGUGCCAGCAGCCGCGGUAAUACGGAGGAUCCGAGCGUUAUCCGGAUUUCGUGGGUUUAAAGGUAGCGUAGAUGGGUUGUUAAGUCAGUUGUGAAAGUUUGCGGCUCAACCGUAAAAUUGCAAUUGAUACUGGCAGUCUUGAGUACAGUUGAGGUAGGCGGAAUUCGUGGUGUAGCGGUGAAAUGCUUAGAUAUCACGAAGAACCCCGAUUGCGAAGGCAGCUUACUAAACUGUGACUGACAUUGAUGCUCGAAAGUGUGGGUAUCAAACAGGAUUAGAUACCCCUGUAGUC